ACGGGAGGCAGCAGUGGGGAAUAUUGCACAAUGGGCGAAAGCCUGAUGCAGCGACGCCGCGUGAGUGAAGAAGUAUCUCGGUAUGUAAAGCUCUAUCAGCAGGGAAGAUAAUGACGGUACCUGACUAAGAAGCCCCGGCUAACUACGUGCCAGCAGCCGCGGUACUACGUAGGGGGCAAGCGUUAUCCGGAUUUACUGGGUGUAAAGGGAGCGUAGACGGCAAGGCAAGUCUGAUGUGAAAACCCGGGGCUCAACCUCGGGACUGCAUUGGAAACUGUCUAGCUAGAGUGCAGGAGAGGUAAGCGGAAUUCCUAGUGUAGCGGUGAAAUGCGUAGAUAUUAGGAGGAACACCAGUGGCGAAGGCGGCUUACUGGACUGUAACUGACGUUGAGGCUCGAAAGCGUGGGGAGCAAACAGGAUUAGAUACCCUGGUA
This 434-nucleotide ribosomal RNA is filed under the name uncultured bacterium. Its description in RNAcentral is "partial 16S ribosomal RNA". It matches the Rfam family "Bacterial small subunit ribosomal RNA", at positions 341 to 792 of the family's 1533-position model. The record is from RNAcentral.